AUGGAACUGGACACCAGCACGCUGCAGAACCUCGACAUCACCUCCCACGAAGAGGACCCAGGGCCCGUUGCAGUUUCCGAAGGCGGCCACGAAGGCAUAGAUGAUCACGACGACGAUGAGGGCUUGGAAGAGCCGCAGGUGACCUUAUACGUCGCGGAGGAGCCAAAGGAACCAUCGGACUGGCAUCUCCUUCUCCCCCAACACUUCCCCGACAAAGCUGGCGGUGCCCCGGCCUGGCUUGAUCCUGUCAAUUUGCCGUCAGGCGAGUUGAGUAGAUGCGGCUUCUGUGGCGCCCCGCUGCGUUUCGUCCUCCAGCUCCAGGCGCCAAUUAAAUGGAAGGAGACAGCCUGCCACCGCACAUUCUUUGUGUUCAUGUGUCCAUCCAUGUCUUGCUUGAUGCAAGACCAGCAUGAGCAAGGGAAAGACAGGGCAGGAAUUCUUAGAAGUGUGAAGGUUUUCAGGUGCCAGCUGGCCAAGAAUAACCCAUUUUACCCGGUCGAAGAGCCUCGACCUGAGGACUGCGUUGAUCCUGAGGGCUGCGUUGGCCGCGUCCUCGGCUGUUGUGAUUGGUGUGGCACAUGGAAAGGUGAAGAGAUUUGCAGCCACUGUUGCGAAGCAAGGUACUGUUCCAAGAAGCACCAGGAAUUGCAUUGGCAUGCUAGUCACAAGAAUGACUGCUGUCAAAUACCAGGUUCAUUCAAUGACUCUAAUCUGCCAGGUGCACGAAAAGUAUUUGCUGGCAGUUCAUGGCCUGAAUAUCUUAUAUUUGAUGAAGUGGAGACCCCUUAUUGUGGCGAAAACAGCUCAGAGCAGUUGGUGGAAGAAGGCGACGAACCAGAUGACAUAACACAAUUAUUGAUGGAUCAGUUUGAGGCUGAUGAUGACAAAACAUGCUGGGCAUCGUUCAUAGACCGUGUAGAAGGAACUCAUCAAGUAUUGAGGUACUGUGGGGAAGAAAAUGCAGAACCUCUUUGGGCAGAAUCAACGGGGUCUCUGACAAGUGCUGACAUUCCAUCAUGCAUCUAUUGUAAUGCCCCACUUGCCUAUGAAUUUCAGGUAAUGCCGCAACUACUCCAUUACUUCAAUGUGGAAAGUGACCAAGACCCUCUCGAUUGGACAACAAUUAUUGUGUACACAUGCCGAGAUUCGUGUGAUAAAAGUAUCAGCUACAAGGAGGAGUUUGUAUGGGUUCAGUUAUCAACCGAUACAAUAAGCACAUACCGAGCCAUUUCAACUCCAGCUGGUUUGUAG
This 1251-nucleotide ribosomal RNA is filed under the name Triticum aestivum (bread wheat). RNAcentral describes it as "partial small subunit ribosomal RNA". The record is from RNAcentral. Lineage: Eukaryota; Viridiplantae; Streptophyta; Magnoliopsida; Poales; Poaceae.